Molecule: ribosomal RNA, 432 nt
Filed under: Triticum aestivum (bread wheat)
Lineage: Eukaryota; Viridiplantae; Streptophyta; Magnoliopsida; Poales; Poaceae
Description: partial small subunit ribosomal RNA
Source: RNAcentral
AUGAAUGAGGGAAAAGAUAAGAUUACCUGGACCCUCACUGCUGAUAAUAAAUUUUUGGUAAGAUCUUUAUACAAGAAAUUGAUUACACUAGGGCUGAAAUUUCCACAAAAAUACCUAUGUAAAAUCAAAGUUCCUCCGAAAAUAAAAGUCUUUCUGUGGUUAGUAAACAAGAAUAGUAUUUUGACUAGGGAUGUCCUACUCAAAAAAGGGUGGAAGGGGGGGAAAGGGUGUGUGUUUUGUGGACAAGAUGAAUCAAUUGAUCAUCUAUUGUUCACCUGCUCUGCGGCUUCCUUGCUUUGGAGCUUGGUCAGAUGUGUGUGUGGUUUGAAGACCAUUCCUUUAAAUGUUAAAGAUUGUUUUAGGGGGUGGAUAAGCAAAUUUAAUAAAGAAGACAAGAAAAUGGUGAUGGUUGGAGUUUCUGCCUUAUUCUGA